AGUGGGGUAGCUGGGUCAAAUGGUUUUCCCAGUUUUCUGAGGAAUCUCCAUACUGCUUUCCAGAGUGGUUGUACCAAUUUGCAGUCCCACCAGCAAU
This 97-nucleotide microRNA precursor is filed under the name Marmota monax (woodchuck). The record is from RNAcentral. Lineage: Eukaryota; Metazoa; Chordata; Mammalia; Rodentia; Sciuridae.